CCUUCCGCUGUCAGCGGCGCCCCCUAGGUGACUCUACCACCUCUGGUAGACUUCGUUCGAAUUGGCGGCUCGAGCCCCUGGUUCCACUGAAGACAAACCCAGCUUGGCAUUAAAGCGUCUGCCCUGGGUGACUUCUGCCUCUUUCCCUCGCACCGCUGCCGCACUGCUCUUCAGCUCGACCAAGCCGUUGUCCUCACUGGAAAUAGCAGACCCUUUCUCCCCAGAGACUGCCUCCGGCUUUGGAAGAAGCUUCCAGGAUAUCCAUCCAGAAAGUCAGCUAUUCCUUUAUUUCUGGGUUUUGCUUUUCUUCAUGAAGAAGGCAAUCAAAAAGAAAACUAUCCAGUUGCUGAGGAUAUUCUAUGAAGUUCUCUGAAGCUGACCUCAAACUCGUGAUCCUCCUGCCUCAGGCUCCAGAGUUGCUGGGAUGACAGGCAUGUAACACCACAUCCUGCUUUAGCUACUUUUGAUCUGCAAGACAGUGAAUUAUUUACAUGUCCUGUAUUGACCUUACUGCCUCCCAUUAAAGUUUUCCAAUUACAAUCUGGAAAGUCCACCUUACCUUGGCUGCAUAGAUGAAGAUGUGGAGUCUAAUGCUGACUGAGCUUCUGGGACACUGCCAUCUGUGCACUGAACUGGUAAAGAUUCAGACAGACUACUGACAGAAGUUGCUGUAACAGUACCAUAAUUCAUGUUAGUGGUUCUAUACUAUGGACAGACCAACAACAUCUUAAAAAAAAAAAAAACACAAAAAACACCAAAGUCCUCUUAUUGCCCAUGCUCCAUUACUUUACUUUCCAAGGAUAGUUACAUUUACUUGAGUUAUGCCUGUUUUCUUAAGGUAGUAAGAGUUUUUGUAGCACAGCAAAUAAGAUUGUGGAAUGGCUUUACACUAUUACUCUUAGUCCCUACUUUCCACCAUGACAAUCACAAUGUAUAAAAGAAAUGUUACUAAGAUAAAUGUGGUAAUGCAAGUACCAUGUGACAGCAGAAAAUGGUUUUGGAUACACUAGGCCAAACAAGUGUAUUUCAAUUAUGAGAUGCUGAAUUACCGAGAUCACUGUAAUUACAGAAUUACUUACCAGGUGGGCUUAUUCUACCAUUACUACUAUUCUGUCUUUGAAGAUGUUCUUUAUAGCAUACUGAACACAUGCCAUUUGUACGAGGGUUUCCAUAAAAUCCGCAGCCAGUGGAACAAAGCAUAGGCACUUGGCUGUGAUUAGUUUCUUGAGCCAUGUUCCUCUGUUGCACACCUGAAAUUUAUACAGAAUUAAUAAAGAACUCAGACACAAGACUUCAGUAAUAAUUAUCCUAAUAUGCUUUCUAUAUAAUAAAGGAUAAAACCCCACAUAUGCACCACACCCCUCCCCACCAACCACUCUAUACAACAGUCCCAAGAGCUAGGGCAAAAGUUAAUAGAAAAUAAAAAACAAAGGGCACACUGAACUUUUAUCUCCAAUCAACUCUACACAAGGAAAGAGGCCUGUUUUUGUGUUUGUUUUUCCUUGACCAUAGACCCUUUAUUUCUACAUCAGCAACUCUGGCAUAGACUUGAACAUUUCUUUUUCUUUCUUUCUUUUUUUAAUUUGUGAGAAGACCUGUUUUGAAGACCAUACCAUUUGAAAUUAAGAAAAACUCUUUAAAUAUAGUUCAGUUGGACCCUUCUAGUAAUGAAAAAUAUACAUCAUAAGUUUUGCUAUAUGUUACACUAAUCUCUAAACAUAGGCCCAAAUCAUCAUGUUGACUUAGGACCAGACUUCCUUAACAAGACUCCUAAAAGGAAAGAAAUAAA
Sciurus carolinensis (gray squirrel) is the source of this 1789-nucleotide long non-coding RNA. RefSeq lists it as uncharacterized. The record is from RefSeq and is a predicted model, not a curated record. The transcript has 4 exons. Lineage: Eukaryota; Metazoa; Chordata; Mammalia; Rodentia; Sciuridae.